AACAACAAUUCAGUUACAAUUUAACAUUAAUUUUUUCACAUUACAAAUAUAUUGUUAUGCAUGCUUUAAAGACUGUUAAAAAUAACUAAAAUGAAGGUUAGUCCGUCGGAAAUUUAUUAUUCGCAAAAUUCGAUAAGCAAUAUGUUCGAUUCUAAAUCGAGUCAUAGAGGGAGACUCAUAGGGGAAUCUUUGGACAAAAUUUGCGAGGGAAGCUGCAGCAUCCAAUCGAUACCUUCCAUAACCGUUGCCAUGCACGACGGCAAAUGGAUGACGAUGGACAAUCGUCGCCUCUGGGUGUUCAAAAAGUUAGAACGGCUCGGAAAAUGCUAUAGUGUCGAUGUCGUGGUUGGGUCCAGCAUACCAUCUGCAAAACUGACAACGACAAACGGUGGUGUCAAAAUUGACGUCCGUGGCUCACCUGGCGGAACAUGGUACACUUAACCAGGGUCCGGUAUCAGCAGCCAUUACCAGGUAGUUUCGAGAACCUCGCGGUAUGCAGUUUUUGAUGACUGGGGCUUUGAUUUUGAUUUACUUUGAUUACACGCUAAAUGACGAUUUUGAUUUGUUAUACUAGUUUGCCAUUGUAUUCAAAUAUGGCAAACGCAUGUGUAUAUGUGAAUGUGCCAUUUGUAUUAACGAGUACAAAUCUUCGCGAAUGUUUAUUAUUGUUUCCGUUUUAGUAGGUUAUUUAUUUACAUAAUGUUUUUAGAAAAUGAGAAUAGAAAACAAUUUGUGUAAAUAAAUCGAAGAAAUGUUAUAUAAACAUCUUACUGGCUUGUAGAUAAAAUUAUGCAAACUUAA
Molecule: long non-coding RNA, 801 nt
Organism: Dreissena polymorpha
Lineage: Eukaryota; Metazoa; Mollusca; Bivalvia; Myida; Dreissenidae
Exons: 2
Source: RefSeq, a predicted model, not a curated record